This 430-nucleotide ribosomal RNA is filed under the name Streptomyces albidoflavus. RNAcentral's name for it is "bacterial SSU rRNA". It matches the Rfam family "Bacterial small subunit ribosomal RNA", at positions 10 to 442 of the family's 1533-position model. Lineage: Bacteria; Bacillati; Actinomycetota; Actinomycetes; Kitasatosporales; Streptomycetaceae. The record is from RNAcentral.
AGUUUGAUCAUGGCUCAGGACGAACGCUGGCGGCGUGCUUAACACAUGCAAGUCGAACGAUGAACCGCUUUCGGGCGGGGAUUAGUGGCGAACGGGUGAGUAACACGUGGGCAAUCUGCCCUGCACUCUGGGACAAGCCCUGGAAACGGGGUCUAAUACCGGAUAUGACUGUCCAUCGCAUGGUGGAUGGUGUAAAGCUCCGGCGGUGCAGGAUGAGCCCGCGGCCUAUCAGCUUGUUGGUGAGGUAGUGGCUCACCAAGGCGACGACGGGUAGCCGGCCUGAGAGGGCGACCGGCCACACUGGGACUGAGACACGGCCCAGACUCCUACGGGAGGCAGCAGUGGGGAAUAUUGCACAAUGGGCGAAAGCCUGAUGCAGCGACGCCGCGUGAGGGAUGACGGCCUUCGGGUUGUAAACCUCUUUCAGCAG